CACCCCUCCCCUCCGUUCCGCCGCCUCUCCUCCCCUCCCUUCUCCGAGCGCCGCGCUCCGGGCUUCGCCUGACAUCUAGCUGCUGCUGGGGCGCCGGCGGCUGCCGCUCACCGACCCAGCGGAGAGGGAAGAAGGAGCUCGCGGAGAGAGCAGUGUCGGGGACUCGGAAUCCUUGGCGGGGGCAAUGGAGCUAAGGUCUGCACUGUCUGCGAGGGGAAAGAGACUUAAAGAACUGGUCUGCAGGGAGAGCACGGGGAGAGGGACCUAAGAGAAGAAAAACCUCACCAGGAGAAGAGAAGAAAGUCAUUGAACUUCUUGAGCCUCUGCCCAGACAGUGCCUGCUGAGGGUUGCUGCCUUGCUGUCCACACCCACGUACCAGCCCCUCCUAAGUGCAGUAGCAGGAGAAGCCCGCAAUUAACCCUUGAUCCUAAUCUCCUAUUAAUCCUCAAAUCAGAGUAAGGGAGAAGCCCCGGAAACAAUGGGAGAGUGAGAACAAUCCCUCCGUGGCCCUGGACUCCCCCCCCCCCACCCACUCCAUGCCACAUUCACUCUAUGUGAAAAUCUCCCUUGCUUCAUAAACUCUGCCCAUUAAAAAGCCCAGCCCUUGUUAGUAAGUGUUAAAGAGAGAUUAAUGCCUGAAUUUAAGAGGUGGAGGAGGUAACAAAAAGGCGAGGCUGUGGGCUGAGAGCCAGCAUUGGGCUCCAAGCAUUUCCACUUAGUGCUGCAGGCAGGCUGCGCAGCGGUUUGAUAAGGUUUAUUGGGCCCAGAUAAAGUAGCAGCUUCCCCACCAAAACUGGCACCAUUGGUAGCCAGAGCCGUGUCCUUGGGUCCCCCGAAGGCUGAUGAGAAUCCCCAGUUCAGAGAGCUCAUAUGGGGGGGCACCUAAAAACAAGCAGGAUGGAAAAUUACAGGAGAAAACUCUCUCCCUCUCUGUCUCUCUCCCUCCCUCUCAUUCUGUCUCUGUCUCUCUCUCUCUGUCUGAUGUUCAUGUAUUGGUUGUGAUUUUCUUUCUUUCUUUUCUUUUUUUUUUUUUUUUUUUUUUACUUCUUUUCUUGAAGGGUAUGGUAAGGGAAGCUGGGACAUCAGCUGGGACAGGUCUAAAAAUAGAAGAGACCUCAGUCUUGUGGGGAGGUCAUGCUGGAGACAGGGGAAUAGAUGGAUUGACCUUUGAAUACAAUUCCAUGUUAAAUCUUGUCCUUCUCUCAUCUCCUUCUUUAUUCCCAUACCUCCCACAGGUAUGAGCCUUUCAGAGGUCAGUUUGUGGAAGAAGGGGAUAUAUUAGGUCUAAGGGAUCUUAUAGGGAGAAGACCGUGGGAAUAACUCGUUGUGAGCACCGACUAUGAAUCUUAACACAUUACCUAUAUUGUAUGAUGUAAUCCUAGUAACAACCCUAUUCGGGCAGGUGCCAUUAUUUGCCCCAUUUUUCAGAUGGGAAAACUGAGGCUUGAAGCAGUUAAGCAUUUCACCCAAGACUGUAGGGCUAGUGAACAUCAGAGCUGAGGCUUCAAAUCAGACCAUUCUGACUGCAAAGCUCUUGAUCUUAACUUCUAGAUUGUAUAAGCCUCUGGCAAGGUAGAAAAAGGAAAACAGCUUUUGAUUUUCCUUCUCUUAACUCCACUGAGGCCAAGAGCUACACAGCCACCAGGCAAGCUGACGGCCAAACCAUUUCCCGUUGAAUCAGACCACCUGGUAAACAGACUUAGCUCACUUUCCCUCCUUCCCCAAAAUCGCAGGCAAAAGUUGAGGAGGGAGUUUUGAAUUACAAUAAAGCUUCAACCGAACAGA
This is a long non-coding RNA of Felis catus (domestic cat), 1786 nucleotides long. RefSeq lists it as uncharacterized. NCBI's taxonomy places the organism in Eukaryota, Metazoa, Chordata, Mammalia, Carnivora, Felidae. The record is from RefSeq and is a predicted model, not a curated record. The transcript is spliced from 2 exons.